This 455-nucleotide ribosomal RNA is filed under the name uncultured bacterium. RNAcentral describes it as "bacterial SSU rRNA". It matches the Rfam family "Bacterial small subunit ribosomal RNA", at positions 340 to 786 of the family's 1533-position model. The record is from RNAcentral.
UACGGAAGGCAGCAGUGGGGAAUAUUGCACAAUGGGCGCAAGCCUGAUGCAGCCAUGCCGCGUGUAUGAAGAAGGGCCUUCGGGUUGUAAAGUACUUUCAGUCGUGAGGAAGGUGUUAAGGUUAAUAACCUUAGCAAUUGACGUUAGCGACAGAAGAAGCACCGGCUAACUCCGUGCCAGCAGCCGCGGUAAUACGGAGGGUGCGAGCGUUAAUCGGAAUUACUGGGCGUAAAGGGCACGCAGGCGGUUAAUUAAGUUGGAUGUGAAAUCCCCGGGCUUAACCUGGGAAUGGCAUUCAAGACUGGUUAGCUAGAGUCUUGUAGAGGGGGUAGAAUUCCAUGUGUAGCGGUGAAAUGCGUAGAGAUGUGGAGGAAUACCGGUGGCGAAGGCGGCCCCUGGACAAAGGACUGACGCUCAUGUGCGAAAGCGUGGGGAGCAAACAGGGAUUAGAUACC